UUUCCGUAGGUGAACCUGCGGAAGGAUCAUUACAGAGUUCAUGCCCUCACGGGUAGAUCUCCAACCCUUGAAUAUUUAUACCUUAGUUGCUUUGGCAGGCCGUGGAAACACCAUGGGCUCCGGCUUAUGCGUGCCUGCCAGAGGAAACAAACUCUGUUUUUAGUGAUGUCUGAGUACUAUAUAAUAGUUAAAACUUUCAACAACGGAUCUCUUGGUUCUG
RNAcentral lists this unclassified non-coding RNA (220 nucleotides) under plant metagenome. RNAcentral's name for it is "partial contains small subunit ribosomal RNA, internal transcribed spacer 1, and 5.8S ribosomal RNA". The record is from RNAcentral.